AUUGAACGCUGGCGGAAUGCUUUACACAUGCAAGUCGAACGGCAGCAUAGGUGCUUGCACCUGAUGGCGAGUGGCGAACGGGUGAGUAAUACAUCGGAACGUGCCCAGUCGUGGGGGAUAACGUAGCGAAAGUUACGCUAAUACCGCAUACGAUCUACGGAUGAAAGCGGGGGACCGUAAGGCCUCGCGCGAUUGGAGCGGCCGAUAUCAGAUUAGGUAGUUGGUGAGGUAAAGGCUCACCAAGCCAACGAUCUGUAGCUGGUCUGAGAGGACGACCAGCCACACUGGAACUGAGACACGGUCCAGACUCCUACGGGAGGCAGCAGUGGGGAAUUUUGGACAAUGGACGCAAGUCUGAUCCAGCCAUUCCGCGUGCAGGACGAAGGCCUUCGGGUUGUAAACUGCUUUUGUACAGAACGAAAAGGUCUCUAUUAAUACUAGGGGCUCAUGACGGUACUGUAAGAAUAAGCACCGGCUAACUACGUG
This 486-nucleotide ribosomal RNA is filed under the name uncultured bacterium. RNAcentral's name for it is "bacterial SSU rRNA". It matches the Rfam family "Bacterial small subunit ribosomal RNA", at positions 30 to 507 of the family's 1533-position model. The record is from RNAcentral.